Molecule: ribosomal RNA, 468 nt
Filed under: uncultured bacterium
Lineage: Bacteria
Description: partial 16S ribosomal RNA
Rfam family: Bacterial small subunit ribosomal RNA
Source: RNAcentral
GACGAACGCUGGCGGCGUGCUUAACACAUGCAAGUCGAACGGAAAGGCCCUGCUUUUGUGGGGUGCUCGAGUGGCGAACGGGUGAGUAACACGUGAGUAACCUGCCCUUGACUUUGGGAUAACUUCAGGAAACUGGGGCUAAUACCGGAUAGGAGCUCCUGCUGCAUGGUGGGGGUUGGAAAGUUUCGGCGGUUGGGGAUGGACUCGCGGCUUAUCAGCUUGUUGGUGGGGUAGUGGCUUACCAAGGCUUUGACGGGUAGCCGGCCUGAGAGGGUGACCGGCCACAUUGGGACUGAGAUACGGCCCAAACUCCUACGGGAGGCAGCAGUGGGGAAUAUUGCACAAUGGGCGGAAGCCUGAUGCAGCAACGCCGCUGGCGGGAUGACGGCCUUCGGGUUGUAAACCGCUUUCGCCUGUGACGAAGCGUGAGUGACGGUAAUGGGUAAAGAAGCAACGGCUAACUACGUG